RNAcentral lists this unclassified non-coding RNA (203 nucleotides) under uncultured Xylariales. RNAcentral describes it as "sequence contains ITS2". The record is from RNAcentral. Lineage: Eukaryota; Fungi; Ascomycota; Sordariomycetes; Xylariales.
CAACCCUUAAGCUUAGCUUAGUGUUGGGAAUCUACCGUGAGCGGUGUUAUUCGGUGCUACCCUAUAUUAAAGGUAGUCAUCUUAUAAUUACCCUGUAGUUCCUCAAAUCCAACGGCGGAGUCGUAAUCAUCUCUGAGCGCAGUAAUUUUUAUCACGCUUCUGAAGGUGUUAUAACUUUAGCCGUUAAACCUCCAAAAAUUAAU